This 442-nucleotide ribosomal RNA is filed under the name uncultured bacterium. RNAcentral's name for it is "bacterial SSU rRNA". It matches the Rfam family "Bacterial small subunit ribosomal RNA", at positions 953 to 1392 of the family's 1533-position model. The record is from RNAcentral.
GACUGCAGAACGCGAAGAACCUUACCUGGCCUUGACAUCCAUGGAAUCCCGAAGAGAUUUGGGAGUGCCGCAAGGAACCAUGAGACAGGUGCUGCAUGGCUGUCGUCAGCUCGUGUCGUGAGAUGUUGGGUUAAGUCCCGCAACGAGCGCAACCCUUGUCCUUAGUUGCCAUCAUUAAGUUGGGAACUCUAAGGAGACCGCCGGUGACAAACCGGAGGAAGGUGGGGAUGACGUCAAGUCAUCAUGGCCUUUAUGGCCAGGGCUACACACGUGCUACAAUGGCAGGUACAGAGGGAAGCCAACCGGCGACGGGGAGCUAAUCCCAGAAAGCCUGUCUUAGUCCGGAUUGCAGUCUGCAACUCGACUGCAUGAAGUUGGAAUCGCUAGUAAUCGCAGAUCAGCAUUGCUGCGGUGAAUACGUUCCCGGGUCUUGUACACACCG